UUCCUAAGUCCGUUGACUGGAGAAACGAAGGCGCAGUGACUGAAGUCAAAGA
RNAcentral lists this small RNA (52 nucleotides) under Arabidopsis thaliana (thale cress). RNAcentral's name for it is "ATSL214750". Lineage: Eukaryota; Viridiplantae; Streptophyta; Magnoliopsida; Brassicales; Brassicaceae. The record is from RNAcentral.